UAGGGAAUCUUCCACAAUGGACGCAAGUCUGAUGGAGCAACGCCGCGUGAGUGAAAAAGAUCUUCGGAUCGUAAAACUCUGUUGUUAGAGAAGAACACGAGUGAGAGUAACUGUUCAUUCGAUGACGGUAUCUAACCAGCAAGUCACGGCUAACUACGUGCCAG
This 164-nucleotide ribosomal RNA is filed under the name uncultured bacterium. Its description in RNAcentral is "partial 16S rRNA". It matches the Rfam family "Bacterial small subunit ribosomal RNA", at positions 355 to 511 of the family's 1533-position model. The record is from RNAcentral.